GGGAGAAGGGUAGUUAAGGAACUCGGCAAGUUGACCCCGUAGCUUAGGGAUAAGGGGUGCUCUCGAAAGAGAGCCGCAGAGAAUAGGCCCAGGCGACUGUUUAGCAAAAACACAGCUCUAUGCUAAAUCGAAAGAUGAUGUAUAUGGGGUGACACCUGCCCGGUGCCGGAAGGUUAAGAGGAGGAGUGAGAGCUCUGAAUUGAAGCCCCGGUAAACGGCGGCCGUAACCAUAACGGUCCUAAGGUAGCGAAAUUCCUUGUCAGGUAAGUUCUGACCCGCACGAAUGGUGUAACGAUCUGGGCACUGUCUCAACUACCCGCCCGGCGAAAUUGUAGUACCGGUGAAGAUGCCGGUUACCCGCGACUAGACGGAAAGACCCCAUGGAGCUUUACUGUAGCUUAAUGUUGAAUUUCGGUAUUUCAUGUACAGGAUAGGUGGGAGACUAAGAAGCAGGGGCGUCAGCUUCUGUGGAGUCAACCUUGGGAUACCACUCUUGAAGUGCUGGAAUUCUAACCUGCGGCCGUGAAUCCGGUCGGGGGACAUCGUUAGGUGGGCAGUUUGACUGGGGCGGUCGCCUCCCAAAGAGUAACGGAGGCGCUCAAAGGUUCGCUCAGCAUGGACGGAAACCAUGCUCUUGAGUGUAAACGCAAAAGCGAGCCUAACUGCGAGACUGACGGGUCGAGCAGUAACGAAAGUUGGAGUUAGUGAUCCGGCGGUAUGUGAGUGGAAAUGCCGUCGCUCAACGGAUAAAAGCUACCCUGGGGAUAACAGGCUGAUCUCCCCCAAGAGUCCACAUCGACGGGGAGGUUUGGCACCUCGAUGUCGGCUCAUCGCAUCCUGGGGCUGUAUUCGGUCCCAAGGGUUUGGCUGUUCGCCAAUUAAAGCGGUACGCGAGCUGGGUUCAGAACGUCGUGAGACAGUUCGGUCCCUAUCUGUCGUGGGCGUAGGAUAUUUGAAAGGAGCUGUCCCUAGUACGAGAGGACCGGGAUGGACGCACCUCUGGUGCACCAGUUGUCACGCCAGUGGCACAGCUGGGCAGCUAAGUGCGGAUCGGAUAAACGCUGAAGGCAUCUAAGCGUGAAGCCGUCCUUAAGAUAAGAUAUCCCAUCAGGUCAACUGAGUAAGACCCCUCAAAGACUAUGAGGUUGAUAGGCCUAAGGUGUACGCAUGGUGACAUGUUCAGCCUGCAGGUACUAAUCGGUCGAGGGCUUGACC
This 1215-nucleotide ribosomal RNA is filed under the name metagenome. RNAcentral describes it as "bacterial LSU rRNA". It matches the Rfam family "Bacterial large subunit ribosomal RNA", at positions 1692 to 2925 of the family's 2925-position model. The record is from RNAcentral.